GAAAGUUUAGGAACUGUUUUGGCCUCACAAAAGCUCAAGGAUACAAGAAAGACCAAGCAGCUAUUUAGAGAGGAUGAAAGAGGAGCAAGCAAGAAACCCUGCAAAUAGCAACGUAAAGAAGGUAUCCGUGCCUGAAAACGUUUGCUUAGGUCAAGUCCGAGCUGUGAAACAGAAGUUCUUUCAUGUGUUCAUGAAUCCCCAGAUGUGGCACUAUUUCACUUGUUUUGUGCAUCCCACGUCCUCCUCCUUACCCCUGGCCUGUCUGCAACAGCCCUGAGUCAGAGAGCUGCUCCACCAGGCAGCAUUACCAUCGCCCACGGGUUAGGAGAGGACCGUCCUUGCUCCAGGUCUGGAUUGUAUGGCUUCUCCUGUGCCCUGAAGAGCACUGCCAGUGGCCAAGGUCAAGGUCAGCCUCUGUGGAACAUGGUUCUCUGUUUCUCGGUCUACUGUCAUGAUGGAGUGGCAGAAAAAAUAAGGCAGACACCUCGCUAUUCCCUAAAUUGUCUUCCUCUCUUCUCCUCCUCCCCAGGCACCUCUGCAUCAAAACACUCCUCUCUCCUCCUUCAAAUAAAAAAGGAAAAGACACCAGAUGCCCACACGCUUAAUAAGCAAUGGAGUAGGGAAAGAAAGGGAGGAGUCUCCUCUUCUCCCCUGAGAUAUCUGAACUCUAGCUUCUGCCCAGCUAAAAUUUUCUAUCUCACACACACACCCCCACACACACUCUGACAUGCAAUAAAGUAUCAACAGUAGUUUUUUAGUGGG
Orcinus orca (killer whale) is the source of this 762-nucleotide long non-coding RNA. RefSeq lists it as uncharacterized. The record is from RefSeq and is a predicted model, not a curated record. NCBI's taxonomy places the organism in Eukaryota, Metazoa, Chordata, Mammalia, Artiodactyla, Delphinidae. The transcript has 3 exons.